GUGAGGAAUAUUGGUCAAUGGGCGAGAGCCUGAACCAGCCAAGUCGCGUGAAGGAUGAAGGUUUUAUGAAUUGUAAACUUCUUUUGCAGGGGAAUAAAGUACGGUACGUGUACCGUUUUGUAUGUACUCUGCGAAUAAGGAUCGGCUAACUCCGUGCCAGCAGCCGCGGUAAUACGGAGGAUCCGAGCGUUAUCCGGAUUUAUUGGGUUUAAAGGGUGCGUAGGUUGUUUGAUAAGUCAGCGGUGAGAGUUUGCAGCUUAACUGUAAAAAUGCCGUUGAAACUGUCGGACUUGAGUGUAAAUGAGGUAGGCGGAAUGCGUGGUGUAGCGGUGAAAUGCAUAGAUAUCACGCAGAACUCCGAUUGCGAAGACAGCUUACUAAGCUACAACUGACACUGAAGCACGAAAGCGUGGGGAUCAAACAGGAUUAGAAACCCUAGUAGUCC
This 445-nucleotide ribosomal RNA is filed under the name uncultured bacterium. RNAcentral describes it as "partial 16S ribosomal RNA". It matches the Rfam family "Bacterial small subunit ribosomal RNA", at positions 354 to 796 of the family's 1533-position model. The record is from RNAcentral.